UGAAGAUUUCAGUGGGCCUUCAAAAUGC
Molecule: non-coding RNA, 28 nt
Filed under: Mus musculus (house mouse)
Lineage: Eukaryota; Metazoa; Chordata; Mammalia; Rodentia; Muridae
Source: RNAcentral